AACGAAAUAAUUUUAUGGUUGGGG
RNAcentral lists this non-coding RNA (24 nucleotides) under Cricetulus griseus (Chinese hamster). The record is from RNAcentral. Lineage: Eukaryota; Metazoa; Chordata; Mammalia; Rodentia; Cricetidae.